CAGAAUAUAAUUUUAUGGGGCAUUAUUGUAUUUUAUGUAGCCGCUAGCUAGCUAGUCAGAAAAUACUUUUUUGAACAUUUCGCAGGAUAUGUUGUAGACGGCAAAAGUAGCUGUGGGUGCUACAGUAGCGCCUGAAUCAGGACGUUGACAUGUAGAAAAAAACGGAAAAAAACGAGGAUAUAUCCAUUCUGGGAACAAGUAAAUUCAUAGCCAACUCAACCCUCUUCUGUCCAGGCUAAAUUAACCACGCUUUUACCUUCCUUUCAUGCCACAUGACACACACCUAGCCUGCUAAGAUUACAUUUUGCCAUUAGUUUACACAGUGGCAAGAUGUAGUAAGUACCAAAUAAUAGAUUUUAUUUCACUAACAAUGAUCUAACUAACAAUUUGUUUUUGCACAGGAUUGUGGCGAUUGCAUACUGCUACUGCCUUAAAUGGAACCACUUAAUUUACAUCCAGGGAAGGGGGGCCGAGAUUACUAUGUUUUAAUUAUAUUUUGCACGAUAUACCCCUCCCCACGCACACAUACCUGAACACUUGAAAAGCAGUUGAAACAGAACAGAGAUAGUGGUUCGCAUUUUUCUACUAUGGUUAUACUCUGUCAUCACACGUUGACUUGCUCCCAGACAAUGAGACAGGUUGGCACAACACCACCGGUGUAAUGUACUGUAUCAAAUUACAGACCAUGACAAAAGGUGCAGGAACUCCACAAUACUUCUGAGCUAAUAUUCUGCUGUGCAUCACAACAAGUAGAUCAUUUGAUGUGUCAAUACUCAGUGCCGAUCAGGCAGAUCUUCAAGCAGUGUGCCCCAGCAGACGUCGCAGUUGUGCCCUGGUUAACACCCCCUCACUGUGUGCCAACAAAGCUGUUUGCCAUAUUCAGGAGCUGAAGAGGCAACUGGAGAACUGGUGUCAACAGUCAGGAAAUGUUCAGCAUCAGAUGUCUCAUGAAAAACAGAAAAAUAGCAAAACUUUUAGAUUUCAUUCCAGUGAAUCCAAGUCUUCAAUUAUGUCUACUGAGUUAUACAUUGAAGACAUUGGGCUAAGUGCAAGAACCGAAAGAAGUGGCCUGUUGUCUCCGCUGUGUAAGGAAACCACAAAGUUGGUGUAUCUGAUUGAACAUCUAGAAGCUGAUCGCCAGGAUGCAGAGGAAGCUCUACAAACAGAGAAGAAGAGGAGGUUGUAGAGUUGAAAAUAUGAAUCGAGGUAGAAGGUAGAACAUUUUCACAAUUAAAGGAAGGGAUUUCAGAGCUGCGGAAAGAAGUCCAUGCAACUAGACUUGCAGGUGAAGUGGCGGUCUCUCACACCGAGGAGGGGUUCCUUAAAAGAAACAUCAGGAUACCUUGAAUCUUCAUGAGGAAAACAAAGAGUAUGAACUGGAGAUUGAGGACUACAGCAAAAAGAUCUAUGAACAGGCAGCGAAGCAGCUUCAGAAGAACAGGAAGCACAUGCAGCAGAAGUUCAGUGUGAACGAGGACCGGAGAGCAGAGGCUAAGGAGGAGCUGUCCCAGAUGGCUACGCUGCACCCCAAUGCCAAGGUCAACUUGGAGGAGCUGGAGCAGAAGACCUUCAUGGUGGAGCAGAGGAUGCGAGUAUGUGUGAGAAGAGCCAUGCACUUAGCUAGACAUCCAUGCACUCUAACCUGUAGUAAAUCCAUCCUAGAUAUAGAGGUGGCAUAUCCUUAUUGACACGUCUAAUGUUUAGAUUCAGCGCUUUGACCAUUAGAUAUUGCCGAUCACAUAAUCUGCACUAGUUGUCAGUGAAAUAAGCACAUACUUUUAGAGAUUCAUCCAUGCAUGGAGACUCACUAACAAGUUGGGUUUGUGAAAGGAAAGGAGCACUUGAAGAUAGACGUUCAGAUAGAUCCAUGUACAAUGAUGGAAUGGGCUUCUUUACUAGUGUUACUGAUGCAACACAUCAGUAUCUCCUCGGAAAGUGACUGAGAAUCCUAAGAAAGACGAGCGAGAUGAAAGCCCUGGCCAUUCUGAAGGAUAAAAGAACAACUAUUGAAGCAGAAUUACACCAGGAGCAAACCAACACAGAAAACGCCAGAUGGGGACUUCAUAAGGAAUUUGAGAAAGUGUGAAGUUUAAGGUAGACUUCACCGUCAAGAUAGAACUGCCAAAGGGGGAGGAGUUGCAGUAUACUGCAGAGAUAGCCUGCAAAGUAAUGUCAUACUUUCCAGGUCGCAGUUGCAAAUGAGAACUUGUUCUCAACUAGCCUACCUGGUUAAAUAAAGGUGAAAUAAAAAAAAAUAAAAAAGGGAGCAACUCAGUGAUUUUCCUACGGAACACAACAACACUUCAGUUUGUCUGUAAAAGGAACGGAGGCUAAAACUUGCCCAUCUAAAUACAGUCAAGGAAUUACACCAAGCUGUUACCGACGGGUGUAACCAUGCCUUGAGUAGGAUCGCAGACCUCAGUGCUAAGUCCAAAGAGUACAGAACAGGCCCUCACAUGGAGGAAACAGCAGCCGCUAUACCAGAUGUCAUUGAAGAACUACAGUUCGUCUUUGAUGCCGUAGAGUUUCAAAACCAAACAGCUAUGUUGAUCAUGAACACCUUGGAACGUGAUAUCACCAACUGUCAACAACGGAUGGAGCCAACAGUGGAAACUCAUUCUACUCUGUUCACAACCAGACAGGAGAAAAUGGAGGAAACCAACGUAACUAAACACUGGGUCAUUUGGUUGAAUACAAGGUGGUUUGGUUUAUGUUGUACUCACUGUAUUUGACUUUAGUAUCACUGUUAUUCCUAAUACAGAGCAUUUAGCUGGAAUUGUGGAUUUUAUCUCUUGAGACCAUGUACAAUUCUGAUUCCCCUGAAAUGUUGACUUGCCACUUGUUUUAACGUCAGGUAGGCUGAGUGCUUGAAACUAAAAAUGUUUUGAUUUCAAACAUGCCCAUUGGCAUUUGUUUUCAGAGUGGUACUGUAUAUUGGUAACAAACACAAGAGAAAGUCUGAAAG
Molecule: long non-coding RNA, 2965 nt
Organism: Oncorhynchus tshawytscha (Chinook salmon)
Lineage: Eukaryota; Metazoa; Chordata; Actinopteri; Salmoniformes; Salmonidae
Source: Ensembl